AUGCUUCGCGCCGUCCUCCUCCGCUCAGCCUCCGGCCUCCGCCGGUCGCCGAUGGCCGCCCCGCUAUCCACCGCCGCCGCCUCGUGGCUCGCCGAGGGGACCUCGUCGCCGCCCAGGGUGCGCCUACUCAUCGGCGGCGACUUCGUCGAGUCGAAGGCCACCGAGCACGUCGACGUCACCAACCCCGCGACGCAGGAGGUGGUGUCCCGGAUCCCGCUCACCACCGCCGACGAGUUCAGGGCCGCGGUGGACGCUGCCAGGACCGCCUUCCCUGGCUGGCGGAACACUCCGGUCACGGCGCGGCAGCGCAUCAUGUUCAAAUACCAGGAGCUCAUCCGGGCCAACAUGGAUAAGCUGGCAGAGAACAUUACAACCGAGCAGGGAAAGACACUGAAAGAUGCUUGGGGUGAUGUAUUCCGUGGUCUAGAGGUGGUGGAGCAUGCUUGUGGAAUGGGGUCACUUCAAAUGGGCGAAUACGUAUCUAAUGUUUCUCAUGGGAUUGACACCUUUAGUAUUAGGGAGCCACUCGGCGUAUGUGCUGGGAUUUGCCCAUUCAAUUUCCCUGCCAUGAUUCCCCUAUGGAUGUUCCCCAUAGCUGUUACUUGUGGGAAUACUUUUGUUCUAAAGCCAUCAGAAAAGGAUCCAGGGGCUGCUAUGAUGCUUGCGGAGCUAGCGAUGGAGGCUGGUUUACCAAAGGGUGUGUUGAACAUUGUUCAUGGUACCCAUGAUGUUGUCAACAAUAUUUGUGAUGACGAGGCUAUUAAGGCAGUAUCAUUUGUUGGUUCCAAUACAGCAGGUAUGCAUAUAUAUUCUAGAGCAUCUGCGAGUGGGAAGCGUGUUCAGUGUAACAUGGGUGCAAAGAAUCAUGCCAUUAUCCUUCCUGAUGCUGAUCGAGAUGCCACAUUGAAUGCCCUUAUUGCUGCCGGUUUUGGUGCAGCUGGGCAAAGGUGCAUGGCAUUGAGCACUGCUGUUUUUGUUGGAGGUUCAGAACCAUGGGAGGAUGAACUAGUCAAACGUGCAAGCAACCUUGUAGUUAAUUCUGGAACAGCUAAUGAUGCUGACCUUGGUCCAGUGAUCAGUACACAGGCCAAGGACCGCAUCUGCAAGUUAGUCCAAAGUGGCGCUGACAGUGGUGCUCGACUUGUGCUGGAUGGAAGGGAGAUUGUGGUUCCUCAAUUUGAGGAUGGCAACUUUAUUGGUCCAACUGUGUUGGCUGAUGUUAAAAGUGAUAUGGAGUGUUACCAGGAGGAAAUUUUUGGUCCAGUUCUUCUCUUGAUGAAGGCAGAGAGCCUAGAUGAUGCCAUACAAAUUGUAAACAGAAACAAGUAUGGCAAUGGGGCUUCCAUCUUUACCACAUCUGGUGUCUCAGCAAGGAAAUUUCAGACGGACAUUGAAGCUGGCCAGGUGGGUAUCAACGUGCCGAUCCCGGUACCCCUGCCGUUCUUCUCCUUCACGGGUAGCAAAGCUUCCUUCGCCGGAGACUUGAAUUUCUACGGCAAGGCGGGCGUGCAGUUCUUCACCCAGAUCAAGACCAUCACGCAGCAGUGGAAGGAGUCGUCUCCCCAGCGCGUUUCUCUCUCCAUGCCCACCUCGCAGAAGUGA
Molecule: ribosomal RNA, 1602 nt
Filed under: Triticum aestivum (bread wheat)
Lineage: Eukaryota; Viridiplantae; Streptophyta; Magnoliopsida; Poales; Poaceae
Description: partial small subunit ribosomal RNA
Source: RNAcentral